GCCGGGCAUGGUGGUGUGUGCCUGUAAUCCCAGCUACUCGGGAGGCUGAGGCAGGAGGAUCGCUUGAACCCAGGAGGUGGAGGUUGCAGUGAGCUGAGAUCACAGCACUGCACUCUAGUCUGGGUGACAGAGUGAGACUCUGUCUCAA
Molecule: non-coding RNA, 148 nt
Filed under: Pan troglodytes (chimpanzee)
Lineage: Eukaryota; Metazoa; Chordata; Mammalia; Primates; Hominidae
Source: Rfam by way of RNAcentral